AUUGAACGCUGGCGGUAUGCUUAACACAUGCAAGUCGAACGAUGAGAAAGAGCUUGCUCUUUCGAUUAGUGGCGGAUGGGUGCGUAACGCGUAGGAAUCUACCUAUUAGUGGGGGACAACUUAGGGAAACUUAAGCUAAUACCGCAUACGCCCUACGGGGGAAAGAAGGGGAUCGCAAGACCUUUUGCUAAUAGAUGAGCCUGCGUAGGAUUAGCUAGUUGGUGGGGUAAAAGCUCACCAAGGCGACGAUCCUUAACUGGUUUGAGAGAAUGAUCAGUCACACUGGAACUGAGACACGGUCCAGACUCCUACGGGAGGCAGCAGUGGGGAAUAUUGGACAAUGGGCGAAAGCCUGAUCCAGCAAUACCGCGUGUGUGAAGAAGGCCUUAGGGUUGUAAAGCACUUUCAAUUGGAAGGAAAACCUCGAAGCUAAUACCUUCGAGUUUGACAUUACCUUUAGAAGAAGCACCGGCUAACUCUGUGCCAGCCGCCGCGGUAA
RNAcentral lists this ribosomal RNA (499 nucleotides) under uncultured bacterium. Its description in RNAcentral is "partial 16S ribosomal RNA". It matches the Rfam family "Bacterial small subunit ribosomal RNA", at positions 30 to 523 of the family's 1533-position model. The record is from RNAcentral.